RNAcentral lists this ribosomal RNA (593 nucleotides) under uncultured bacterium. RNAcentral's name for it is "bacterial SSU rRNA". It matches the Rfam family "Bacterial small subunit ribosomal RNA", at positions 8 to 612 of the family's 1533-position model. The record is from RNAcentral.
AGAGUUUGAUCAUGGCUCAGAGUGAACGCUGGCGGCGUGCCUAACACAUGCAAGUCGAACGAGAACGGAUAUAAGUUUACUUAUAUUGUCAGCUAAGUGGCGCACGGGUGAGUAAUAUAUAGUUAAUCUGCCCUGAAGAAGAGAAUAAUUGUUGGAAACGACUUGUAAUGCUCUAUAUGCCUUUAUCACAUAAGUGAGCAAGGGAAAUAUUUAUAGCUUCGGGAUGAGACUGUACGGUAUCAGCUAGUUGGUGAGGUAAUGGCUCACCAAGGCUAUGACAUCUAACUGGUUUGAGAGGAUGAUCAGUCACACUGGAACUGAGACACGGUCCAGACUCCCACGGGAGGCAGCAGUGGGGAAUAUUGCACAAUGGAGGAAACUCUGAUGCAGCAACGCCGCGUGGAGGAUGACACAUUUCGGUGCGUAAACUCCUUUUAUUAGGGAAGAUAAUGACGGUACCUAAUGAAUAAGCACCGGCUAACUCCGUGCCAGCAGGCGCGGUAAUACGGGGGGUGCAAGCGUUACUCGGAAUCACUGGGCGUAAAGAGCAUGUAGGCUGAUUAGUAAGUUGGAAGUGAAAUCCUAUGGCUCAA